RNAcentral lists this microRNA precursor (78 nucleotides) under Ovis aries (sheep). RNAcentral's name for it is "miRNA (ENSOARG00000024912.1)". Lineage: Eukaryota; Metazoa; Chordata; Mammalia; Artiodactyla; Bovidae. The record is from RNAcentral.
GAGCUGGGAUGAGCUGGGCUGGGCUUGGUUGAGCUGGGCUGAGCUGGGCUGAGCUUUGCUGGGCUGAACUGGGCUGAG